RNAcentral lists this ribosomal RNA (504 nucleotides) under uncultured beta proteobacterium. Its description in RNAcentral is "bacterial SSU rRNA". It matches the Rfam family "Bacterial small subunit ribosomal RNA", at positions 548 to 1050 of the family's 1533-position model. Lineage: Bacteria; Pseudomonadati; Pseudomonadota; Betaproteobacteria. The record is from RNAcentral.
GAAUUACUGGGCGUAAAGAGUGUGUAGGCGGUGCUCUAAGUUCGGUGUGAAAUCUCCUGGCUCAACUGGGAGGGUGCGCCGGAAACUGGAAUGCUUGAGCGUGGGAGAGGAAAGCGGAAUUCCUGGUGUAGCGGUGAAAUGCGUAGAUAUCAGGAGGAACACCUGUGGUGUAGACGGCUUUCUGGACCAUUGCUGACGCUGAGACACGAAAGCGUGGGUAGCAAACAGGAUUAGAUACCCUGGUAGUCCACGCCGUAAACGAUGUCUACUAGUUGUCGGGACUUAAUUGUCUUGGUAACGCAGCUAACGCGUGAAGUAGACCGCCUGGGGAGUACGGUCGCAAGAUUAAAACUCAAAGGAAUUGACGGGGACCCGCACAAGCGGUGGAUGAUGUGGAUUAAUUCGAUGCAACGCGAAAAACCUUACCUACCCUUGACAUGGCAGGAAUCCUGAAGAGAUUUAGGAGUGCUCGCAAGAGAACCUGCACACAGGUGCUGCAUGGCU